UGUUUGUGCUUCAGUAGCAGCUGAUUGGAGGAUCAGCGUCCCACCACCUCCUCCUCCUCCCAGUCAGAUUACAGAGUCUCCUGAACCAGCCUCCUCACCCUCCUCACCCUUCCUCACCCCUCCUCUCAUUUUACAGCCUCUAAAUCUGCACCCCAUGGAGUCGCACAUCUGUUUGGUCAGAGCUGCUUUCCAAACCAGGAGUCACAAAACACCAACAGACAGUUUCCCAAAAUGUGUCAUUUAUUAAAAGAUUUUUCUGUUUGUUUUUGUAUCAUUAUUGGAAAAAGACAGAAAAAUAAGCCAGAGAGUGGAGGAUGUGGGGGAGUAAAUAUCACAAGAAAGACGAGAGGUGAGAGUUUAGCUGGGAAAGAAGAGAUGCUAACGGGAUUUAAAGGAGAUCAAGGGAGGCAGAGGGGGAGGCAGAGGGGAGAUAGAGGGGAGGUAGAGGGGAGAUAGAUAAAAAAAGAAAAAAAAGGGAGAUAGAGGGGAAGUAGAGGGGAGAUAGAGGGGAGAUAGAGGGGAAGUAGAGGGGAGAUAGAUAAAAAAAGAAAAAAAAGGGAGAUAGAGGGGAAGUAGAGGGGAGAUAGAGGGGUAGUAGAGGGGAAGUAGAGGGGAGAUAGAGGGGACGUAGAAGGGAGAUAGAUAAAAAAGAAAAGGGAGAUAGAGGGGAAAUAGAGGGGAGAUAGAGGGGAAGUAGAGGGGAGAUAGAGGGGAAGUAGAGGGGAGAUAGAGGGGGAGAUAGAGGGGAGAUAGAGGGGAAAUAGAGGAGUAGUAGAGGGGAGAUAGAGGGGAAGUAGAGGGGAGAUAGAGGGGGAGAUAGAGGGGAGAUAGAGGGGAAAUAGAGGGGAGGUAGAGGGGAGACAGAAGGGAGGUAGAGGGGAGGCUAUAGUCUACACUAAAAGAGAAGAAGAAGAAGAAGGCAGGUAAAACAAAGAUUGUAGUCGGACCGUGACGG
Long non-coding RNA from Acanthochromis polyacanthus (spiny chromis), 955 nucleotides. RefSeq lists it as uncharacterized. The record is from RefSeq and is a predicted model, not a curated record. The transcript is spliced from 5 exons. NCBI's taxonomy places the organism in Eukaryota, Metazoa, Chordata, Actinopteri, Pomacentridae.